CGUGAGACUUUUGUCAGCUCUAAGUAUCCACGAGGCUAUCAGGAAAGCCAAAGGAAGCCAGUAGAAUAUACAAAGGAACACAUAGAAGGGAGCAUACCACAUUUAUCUUGCAUAUCCUGUGCCACAUCAAGCAACUGAAGCCUGAGAAAGUAGAGGCUUAGUUCAUCUUGGAAGGAACCAGGCAAAGAGCCAAAGAGGAAGCCCUCUGUGAAGAAAAGGCAACAAGGCCCCAGUGCUCUCCAGCUUGCUAGCAAGAAUCUCACACCGGGAGGUGACAAGAAGAUACUGGAAAACCACAGGCGGUGCAGCCAAAGAGCUCAUUCCCCCCAAAAAUGCUCUAGUCCCCCUCGAUUGUCUGCCAUUUCCCCCAUGUUGUGUGUUUAAGUUACUUAAACGCUUGGUGUCUCCCUUUAUCUGUGAGUUGCUGAUAACCAUUAUAUUUACAUUUGUAAGCUCAUCUCGAAAUCAGGUGACAUAAAGCACAAAAUGUCCCCGGCACGCUCCCUACCAAUACCGAGUAGCUCUUAUGAUUAUUAAAAGCGACACGUAACAGCAACGUGAA
Molecule: long non-coding RNA, 562 nt
Organism: Hyaena hyaena (striped hyena)
Lineage: Eukaryota; Metazoa; Chordata; Mammalia; Carnivora; Hyaenidae
Exons: 3
Source: RefSeq, a predicted model, not a curated record